AAAUACCUGGAUUUAAUUACCUUUUUUUUUUAAUCCUACAAAUUACUGAGAAUGUUACUCUACGAUUCUUAGUUUUUAUCUGAAGAAUGGAGACUGCACUCCUAAUGUUAUUAUGUGGAUUCAAGGAUGGAAUAAAAGUUAAAGCAACUAGCAUAAAAAAUGUCAGUGAAACAGAGAGUGAACACUUCCAGCCACAUCCACCCACCCAUCGUCUGGAGAAAUAUGCAAGAGGCCAUGCUAGCUGCCGGUACUGUGUGAAUAUGUUUACUUUCUUGAUGAGAGGAACUGAGAAGUGAAUUUACGAGCACUCACAGAAAACCUGAGGACACAAAGGGAAUACACAGGACAUCAUUUCAUGGGUUUGAGGGACAAUGUAAACUAUAAGGUGAUUAUGAAACUUGUUUC
Molecule: long non-coding RNA, 405 nt
Filed under: Vulpes vulpes (red fox)
Lineage: Eukaryota; Metazoa; Chordata; Mammalia; Carnivora; Canidae
Description: lncRNA (ENSVVUG00000010920.1)
Source: RNAcentral